CCUACGGGGGCUGCAGUGAGGAAUUUUGCGCAAUGGGGGAAACCCUGACGCAGCGACGCCGCGUGGGUGAUGAAGGCUUUCGAGUCGUAAAGCCCUGUCAAGUGGGAAGAACCGUCAAUGUGAUAAUACCACAUUGAUCUGACGGUACCACUAAAGGAAGCACCGGCUAACUCCGUGCCAGCAGCCGCGGUAAUACGGAGGGUGCGAGCGUUGUUCGGAAUUACUGGGCGUAAAGGGCGCGUAGGCGGCACUGUAAGUCAGAUGUGAAAGUCCAGGGCUUAACCCUGGAAGUGCAUCUGAGACUGCAGAGCUUGAGUAUCGGAGGGGAAAGUAGAAUUCCCGGUGUAGAGGUGAAAUUCGUAGAUAUCGGGAGGAAUACCGGUGGCGAAGGCGACUUUCUGGACGAAUACUGACGCUGAUGCGCGAAAGCGUGGGGAGCAAACA
Molecule: ribosomal RNA, 444 nt
Filed under: uncultured prokaryote
Description: bacterial SSU rRNA
Rfam family: Bacterial small subunit ribosomal RNA
Source: RNAcentral